CCAUUACCUCUCCCACAAGACUGGCUCAUUCUGGUCCAUCUAGGGCUUUUAUAGAGCUAAACAGGAAGUGCUAUGACGUCACUUCCGGUUUUUGCGCAGGGAAAGUUCACUAUAAAAACGCAGCAAACAAAGGGUCCUGUUUUCCUCCCUGACUGAAAACACGGCUACCUUCCUCUGGAGUCUAUUCACAGGUUUACUCUUGUUCCCCAGCAUAACCACUCAAUCAAUAAAUGCUAUUUAAAAACA
Long non-coding RNA from Pygocentrus nattereri (red-bellied piranha), 246 nucleotides. RefSeq lists it as uncharacterized. NCBI's taxonomy places the organism in Eukaryota, Metazoa, Chordata, Actinopteri, Characiformes, Serrasalmidae. The record is from RefSeq and is a predicted model, not a curated record. The transcript is spliced from 2 exons.